AGUGAACGCUGGCGGCAGGCCUAACACAUGCAAGUCGAGCGGCAGCGCGGGGCAACCCUGGCGGCGAGCGGCGGACGGGUGAGGAAUACAUCGGAAUCUACCCAGUCGUGGGGGAUAACGUAAGGAAACUUACGCUAAUACCGCAUACGACCUGAGGGUGAAAGCAGGGGACCGCAAGGCCUUGCGCGAUUGGAUGAGCCGAUGUCCGAUUAGCUAGUUGGUGAGGUAAAGGCUCACCAAGGCGACGAUCGGUAGCUGGUCUGAGAGGAUGAUCAGCCACACUGGAACUGAGACACGGUCCAGACUCCUACGGGAGGCAGCAGUGGGGAAUAUUGGACAAUGGGCGCAAGCCUGAUCCAGCCAUGCCGCGUGUGUGAAGAAGGCCUCGGGUUGUAAAGCACUUUUGUUGGGGAAGAAAUCUUCCGACCUAAUACGUCGGGAGGCUGACGGUACCCAAAAGAAUAAGCACCGGCUAACUUCGUGCCAGCAGCCGCGGUAAUACGAAGGGUGCAAGCGUUACUCGGAAUUACUGGGCGUAAAAGCGUGCGUAGGUGGUUCGUUAAGUCUGCCGUGAAAAGCCCCCGGGCUCAACCUGGGAAUGGCGGUGGAUACUGGCGGACUAGAGUGCGGUAGAGGGUGGUGGAAUUCCCGGUGUAGCAGUGAAAAUGCGUAGAGAUCGGGAGAAC
RNAcentral lists this ribosomal RNA (686 nucleotides) under uncultured bacterium. Its description in RNAcentral is "bacterial SSU rRNA". It matches the Rfam family "Bacterial small subunit ribosomal RNA", at positions 28 to 706 of the family's 1533-position model. The record is from RNAcentral.